RNAcentral lists this small RNA (343 nucleotides) under Arabidopsis thaliana (thale cress). Its description in RNAcentral is "ATSL083880". Lineage: Eukaryota; Viridiplantae; Streptophyta; Magnoliopsida; Brassicales; Brassicaceae. The record is from RNAcentral.
UCAAAAUGGAAGUUUGGCUUGAGUUCCUCUGCGUAGCGGUUCGAGUCUACGCUAUAGCCAUUUUUCUGUUUUAUUUUUAAUUUUAAAACGACGUCGUUUUGGGUUUCUAACAGAAAGUUAACUCUGUGAUCGUUCUGUUAACGGAAAUUUAACGGCAUAUCUUAAACGGUCCAGUCAACGAAACUUUGCUAUUUUAUUGAGAAGUCAACGAAAACUUCAUGAUUAAAAUGACAUUUUCAAAGUUCAUGCUUUUUUCAUCCCAAAUUUAAAAGUUGAAGCUUUUUUUGACAUUUUUCCCAAUAAUCUAUGUUCAUGUGAUAAAGUAUGUUUGGAUUCAAACUUU